UACGGAAGGCAGCAGUGGGGAAUAUUGCACAAUGGGCGCAAGCCUGAUGCAGCCAUGCCGCGUGUAUGAAGAAGGCCUUCGGGUUGUAAAGUACUUUCAGCGGGGAGGAAGGCGAUGUGGUUAAUAACCGCAUCGAUUGACGUUACCCGCAGAAGAAGCACCGGCUAACUCCGUGCCAGCAGCCGCGGUAAUACGGAGGGUGCAAGCGUUAAUCGGAAUUACUGGGCGUAAAAGCGCACGCAGGCGGUCUGUCAAGUCGGAUGUGAAAUCCCCGGGCUUAAACCUGGGAACUGCAUUCGAAACUGGCAGGCUAGAGUCUUGUAGAGGGGGUAGAAUUCCAGGUGUAGCGGUGAAAUGCGUAGAGAUCUGGAGGAAUACCGGUGGCGAAAGGCGGGCCCCCUGGGACAAAGACUGACGCUCAGGUGCGAAAGCGUGGGGAGCAAACAGGAUUAGGAUAACC
Molecule: ribosomal RNA, 460 nt
Filed under: uncultured bacterium
Lineage: Bacteria
Description: bacterial SSU rRNA
Rfam family: Bacterial small subunit ribosomal RNA
Source: RNAcentral